AGACCCGAAACCCGGUGAUCUAGCCAUGGGCAGGUUGAAGGUUGGGUAACACUAACUGGAGGACCGAACCGACUAAUGUUGAAAAAUUAGCGGAUGACCUGUGGCUGGGGGUGAAAGGCCAAUCAAACCGGGAGAUAGCUGGUUCUCCCCGAAAGCUAUUUAGGUAGCGCCUCGUGAAUUCAUCUCCGGGGGUAGAGCACUGUUUCGGCUAGGGGGCCAUCCCGGCUUACCAACCCGAUGCAAACUGCGAAUACCGGAGAAUGUUAUCACGGGAGACACACGGCGGGUGCUAACGUCCGUCGUGAAGAGGGAAACAACCCAGACCGCCAGCUAAGGUCCCAAAGUCAUGGUUAAGUGGGAAACGAUGUGGGAAGGCCCAGACAGCCAGGAUGUUGGCUUAGAAGCAGCCAUCAUUUAAAGAAAGCGUAAUAGCUCACUGGUCGAGUCGGCCUGCGCGGAAGAUGUAACGGGGCUAAACCAUGCACCGAAGCUGCGGCAGCGAACGUAUCACCCAAGACAACUUUACGGAGUUGACGAUUGACGGAGCGAAGCGACGUCAAAGCGUUCAUUAAAGUCGAGUUGGCUUAGGGAUACGUUCGUUGGGUAGGGGAGCGUUCUGUAAGCCUGUGAAGGUGUGUCGUGAGGCAUGCUGGAGGUAUCAGAAGUGCGAAUGCUGACAUAAGUAACGAUAAAGCGGGUGAAAAGCCCGCUCGCCGGAAGACCAAGGGUUCCUGUCCAACGUUAAUCGGGGCAGGGUGAGUCGACCCCUAAGGCGAGGCCGAAAGGCGUAGUCGAUGGGAAACGGGUUAAUAUUCCCGUACUUGGUGUUACUGCGAAGGGGGGACGGAGAAGGCUAUGUUGGCCGGGCGACGGUUGUCCCGGUUUAAGGGUGUAGGUGUGUGUUCCAGGUAAAUCCGGUUCACUUUAACACUGAGGCGUGACGACGAGGCACUACGGUGCUGAAGCAACAAAUGCCCUGCUUCCAGGAAAAGCCUCUAAGCAUCAGGUAACACGAAAUCGUACCCCAAACCGACACAGGUGGUCAGGUAGAGAAUACCAAGGCGCUUGAGAGAACUCGGGUGAAGGAACUAGGCAAAAUGGUGCCGUAACUUCGGGAGAAGGCACGCUGACACGUAGGUGAAGUGAUUUACUCAUGGAGCUGAAGUCAGUCGAAGAUACCAGCUGGCUGCAACUGUUUAUUAAAAACACAGCACUGUGCAAACACGAAAGUGGACGUAUACGGUGUGACGCCUGCCCGGUGCCGGAAGGUUAAUUGAUGGGGUCAGCG
This 1288-nucleotide ribosomal RNA is filed under the name Salmonella enterica. RNAcentral's name for it is "partial 23S ribosomal RNA". It matches the Rfam family "Bacterial large subunit ribosomal RNA", at positions 711 to 1895 of the family's 2925-position model. The record is from RNAcentral. Lineage: Bacteria; Pseudomonadati; Pseudomonadota; Gammaproteobacteria; Enterobacterales; Enterobacteriaceae. RNAcentral also lists the same sequence under 1 other name.